GUCCUCUUCCGAUCUUUCAAACAGAGUGCUUCAGACAAAGGGCGAAAAGAAGUGCUGCAGUACAGCCGGUAUAAGAAAAAUAAAGCGUUUUUGGAACAUUAAAGCAUGUAAACAUGUUCUAGUAGAAACACAAAAUACAAGUAUGCACCUGUGAAUUGGCUUAAUAGGUCCUCUUUAAAUUGGCACUUUCAAUUGUAUGUUAUUGUUGUAAAAGAAUGGCCAAAUUUAGUAUAGAUUGUGGCCAUUAAAUCACAUGGAUAAAAAACAAUCCUCACUUAUCAAAUCACGUCAGCACUAUCUGGA
Sebastes umbrosus (honeycomb rockfish) is the source of this 303-nucleotide long non-coding RNA. RefSeq lists it as uncharacterized. The record is from RefSeq and is a predicted model, not a curated record. The transcript has 3 exons. NCBI's taxonomy places the organism in Eukaryota, Metazoa, Chordata, Actinopteri, Perciformes, Sebastidae.